RNAcentral lists this ribosomal RNA (510 nucleotides) under uncultured bacterium. RNAcentral's name for it is "bacterial SSU rRNA". It matches the Rfam family "Bacterial small subunit ribosomal RNA", at positions 28 to 528 of the family's 1533-position model. The record is from RNAcentral.
GACGAACGCUGGCGGCGUGGAUUAGGCAUGCAAGUCGAACGGUAUCAUCCUUUCGGGGGUGAGAGAGUGGCGAACUGGUGAGUAACACGUAGGUUAUCUACCCUCAAGACGGGGACAACCCAGGGAAACUUGGGCUAAUACCGGAUGUGAGCAACUUUUAGUUGUUUGAAAGGUGGCGUAAGCUGUCGCUUGGGGAUGAGCCUGCGUCCUAUUAGUUAGUUGGUGAGGUAACGGCUCACCUAGGCAAUGAUAGGUAGGCGGCCUUAACGGGUGGUCGCCCACACUGGGAUUGAGAUACGGCCCAGACUCCUACGGGAGGCAGCAGUCGAGAAUAGUCUACAAUGGUCGGAAGACUGAUAGUGCGACGCCGCGUGAACGAUGAAUCCCUUCGGGGUGUAAAGUUCUUUUAUAUGUGAGCAGUGCUUCUUAUAUUAACAGUAUGGGGAGAGAGAUAUUAGCAUAUGAAUAAGCAACGGCUAACUCCGUGCCAGCAGCCGCGGUAAAAUACCG